GAAAUCCUCAGGAAAUAAACAGCACAGCUUGAAAACUUUCUUGGCUUCAUCAUCUUUUAGGUAAUCAUAGCUAAACUGAAGGCAUUUGUACACAUCUUUAUCCAUCCCUUCAAUGAUUUCUGGCCUUGAUUUCCUAAGCUUCCGAACUGCCACUUGCCAUUCGUCAGGAUCUUUGCCUCUCAUUGCCCUUCCCAUUGUUACAAGAGCUAGAGGCAGGCCUCCACAUUCUUUGAGAAUAUCUUUUGCAGAAGAAUUAAAUGUUGGAGACUCAAUAACAUCGCCUGCAUUUUAAGCAAGACCCAUGAUUCUU
RNAcentral lists this unclassified non-coding RNA (310 nucleotides) under Hevea brasiliensis (rubber tree). The record is from RNAcentral. Lineage: Eukaryota; Viridiplantae; Streptophyta; Magnoliopsida; Malpighiales; Euphorbiaceae.